CGUAGAAUUUUCCUUACCAUAAACCCAAGAGGAAAUAUAUUCCCAACGAAACCAAGCACAACGAAAACCGUCAACUAACGCUACUUCCAUAGUGGGCAGCGGUGAUGACUGAAGAGCGUAGGUAUUCAUGCGAAACCGCCGCCGAUACUCUCCAAUGGAUCAGCGACAUCAUCAACUUCCUCAAUCCUUACUUUUCGAUCUUCAUCAAUGCUCACGUCGUCCAUUUCUUCAAGGAUCGACUAUGGGAGAAUGUUGAUGCAGAAUGGAUGGAUUGCCUGCGAAGAGAAUCAGUUCAGAAUCUUCUCUUAAUACCUUCUGGAGUAGUGCAGGAUCAAUGGCCAGCUUCUCUGAAGGAUUUCAUCCUAAAAUUGAGGUCUAUGGUAUUUUGUCAAGAACAAGCAGAUAUAAACACGGCUUUACCUGGUCUGCGAAUGACUUCACUUAACAGAGUUCUUGCCCAGGGCAUGAAUGCGAAGAAAAGACAUGAAGUAGAAGCACUUUCUGCUGUUGUAAGUACAGUUGCAGAGAGUGUGAGGGCUCAUGCCAUUCUUGAUGUUGGUGCUGGUCAGGGUUAUCUUGCGCAAGUACUUGCCUUUCAAUAUCAGCAUUCUGUCAUUGCCAUUGAUGCAUGCUCUCACCAUGGGAUGGUCACUGAUGCACGGGCAGAGCGGAUUAAGAAGCACUACAAAUCACAGAUGGUAAAGUCUAGAUCAGGUAUGCAGAAUUUGAAUAUACCAAAGACAAUCACAUGUCGUGUGUUGUCCAUUGAAUCUUUGAAAGCUUUGGUUGAAACAUCUUUGCCUGGAGAUGACCUUGAGCGAUCUAUGUUAAAGGGAGAAAGUCAAGAACAUAAAGGGAAAUUUCAUUGUCCUAGUGACGCAAACAACAGAUCUCCCACUGUUCUUGCUGGGCUUCAUGCAUGCGGUGAUCUUUCAGUGAUUAUGCUGAAGACUUUCUUAGACUGCAGAGAUGUUAAAGCUGUUGUUAGUAUUGGUUGCUGUUACAAUCUACUAUCUGAAGAAAGCAGUAGGGAUGGUGAAUCUCGAUGUGGAUUUCCAAUGAGUCAUGCUGUGAGAUCCACUGGCUUAUCACUUGGAAAAAGUGCACGUGAUCUUGCUUGCCAGAGUGCAGAGAGAUGGAGGAGCCUUGAUAUGCAUGCUGGCAUUCACAACUUUGAGUUACACACUUUUCGCGCUGCGUUCCAAAUGGUUACUAUCUCAAUCCUGAAUAUUAUUAUGAGAAAUCAGAAAUUCUAUUAUUAUGAGAAAUCAGAAAUUGAGAAUGAUCCUAAAUUGGUGAGAGGCCUCCGUAAAUGCAUUGAGAUACUUAGUGAAAGCGAUGAAGUGGAAGACAAGAUUUUAGUACAAUUGUCGCAGUAAAAGGGUGCUACAGGUCUAUUUGGUAUUUGAGCGACAAUUAGACAAAGGUCGACAUUAACUCCAGUUGAGUGGUGGAAGUCUUACGGAGCCGAAACUCUGGAUUUGCAAUUGUUGGCAAUUAAAGUGUUGAGUUUGGGUUGUUGUGCUUCUGGAUGUGAGCGUAACUGAAGCAUUUUUGAGUAUAUUCAUUCCAUGAAGCGAAAUAAGUUGGAGCAUCAAAGGUUGCAAGAUUUGGUUUUCAUCAAGUAUAACCAAGCAUUGAUAGAAAGAUUUGAAAUUCGAGACAAGAUUGAUCUUAUGGAAUUUGGUGAAAUUAAUUAUCACACUCAAUGGUUGGUGGAAGAGAUGGGAGAGAUGAGAGAAGAUGGUGAACCUUUAGAAUAAGACUUGGUUCAUGAAGAUGAUGAUUUAACUUGGGCUCAAGUUGCCGAAGCAAGUGAGGUUAAUGAGUCUGUAAUCUACACUAGGAGGUCAAGUCUACUUGAAGUUGCAAGUACAUCUAGGGCACAACAAGUGGUGGUAGAAGAUGUUGAAGAAGAUGAUGAAGAUGAAGAUGAAGUAUUGGAGGAAUAUUUUGAUAAUAUAUGAAGAAUACAUUUUGAUGAUGAUCUUUUGAAUUUUAAGUUUGAAUUUUCAUAUAAUAAUAGUUCUAAGUUUGAAUUUUAAGAUGUGAUGUUGUGAAUCUUCUACUAUAUGUUUGAAUUUUAAGAUUCUAAGUUUGAAUUUUCAUUAAGUA
RNA transcript from Lathyrus oleraceus (garden pea), 2115 nucleotides. RefSeq lists it as uncharacterized. The record is from RefSeq and is a predicted model, not a curated record. Lineage: Eukaryota; Viridiplantae; Streptophyta; Magnoliopsida; Fabales; Fabaceae. The transcript is spliced from 12 exons.